CCUACGGGAGACAGCAGUGGGGAAUAUUGCGCAAUGGGCGAAAGCCUGACGCAGCGACGCCGCGUGAGGGAUGAAGGUCUUCGGAUCGUAAACCUCUGUCAGCAGGGAAGAACGGUCACUGUGCUAAUCAGCAGUGAAUUGACGGUACCUGCAAAGGAAGCACCGGCUAACUCCGUGCCAGCCGCCGCGGUAAUACGGAGGGUGCGAGCGUUAAUCGGAAUUACUGGGCGUAAAGCGCGCGUAGGCGGUAUGUCAAGUCAAGGGUGAAAUCCCCGCGCUCAACGUGGGAACUGCCUUUGAAACUGGCAAACUGGAGUGUGUGAGAGGAUAGUGGAAUUCCAGGUGUAGGAGUGAAAUCCGUAGAUAUCUGGAGGAACAUCAGUGGCGAAGGCGACUAUCUGGCACAUAACUGACGCUGAGGAGCGAGAGCGUGGGUAGCAAACAGGAUUAGAUACCCCGGUAGUC
Molecule: ribosomal RNA, 465 nt
Filed under: uncultured bacterium
Lineage: Bacteria
Description: partial 16S ribosomal RNA
Rfam family: Bacterial small subunit ribosomal RNA
Source: RNAcentral